Epinephelus moara (kelp grouper) is the source of this 3386-nucleotide long non-coding RNA. RefSeq lists it as uncharacterized. The transcript has 3 exons. NCBI's taxonomy places the organism in Eukaryota, Metazoa, Chordata, Actinopteri, Perciformes, Serranidae. The record is from RefSeq and is a predicted model, not a curated record.
CGUCAUGUACGGUGUUAAAUACAAGCUUUCCGCAGCCUUUUAUUAUUUAGUUACAAAUAGUAAUUGCAUAUCUAGAGUCAAAUGCAUGAAACGAAAGAUAAAAGACAGCUAAAAUGUUAUUUUCCAAUGACCCAGCCAAACCAGUAGCAGCACGUGUCUUUGCGCCACAUCUGAGCUCCUGUGACAUUAAUGUUUGGUGCUAUUUUUUAACCUUGCUAUCUCAUCAUUUGUUCUUUCCUGGCCGCAUAUCCUGAGGUCAAACAUUCAGGAAUCCCCUUCCUCUGUCCUUUGCACGCUGCUGACUAUCUAAUAAUCAUUUAACCCAUCCUGAUGUAGCUAAAUCUGUGUGGGAAACGUAUGUCUACAUCUCUUUAUCUUGUAUUAAAUCAAAACAAAAUAUAAUACCAGUUACAAGUGAUAAAGGUUAGCACAACAAAGUCUUCCCAAAAACCUGUCAGUCAGCGAGGUUAUUUAUAUAAGGUCACAGCAGAAAAUGUGUUCAGACAGACUCCAGCACAAACACAUUAUGGUGUGGUGGCCUGAGAAGAGGUCAAACACUAUUUCUGACUGAGCAUUGUUUACUUUGGUUUGGACUGAGGAGCUGAGAGGAAGCAAAGCUCCAAACUAUCAUGUAGUGUGAUAUUUUCGUUAUCAACUUAGAGAUAACCACAAUGGCCCUUCCUUCCCACACGGUUUGUCCCUUUCCGCAGAGACAGCAUCCAGGUCAGAGCAUUCCUUCAGCAUCACCGCCAUUGUCUAAGAUAAGUGUGACAGAAUGACUGAGCUGGCUUCUGUACACAGAUGUCAGCUGGCCAAUUCAUCAGCUGCCUCCUAACAGGGCCAGACCUCCAAAGCGAGAGUCCGUCGCAGAAUAGAAGCACUUUUCCCCAGAUACUUCACCAGUAAUACUUGUUUCAUAAACCGUCCGACCACACUACUCCUCUUCCACGAUGAAGAAAUCAAAGUCAUAACCCUUCAGUGGAAUUUAUGCGGGGAGUCAAGCCACAUUUGAUUUAUACACAGAAGAUGAAAAGGUCAGAUUACACAAGGGAGCGAGUCGGUGUUAUUUCCUCAUUGUAAUGACACACGCCGAACCGCAGAGGGAAAGAAAUGUUUUUAAUACUUAGAAUUUCAGCGUAGCUGCAACAAUUGCUGGCACAACGGAUGGUCUUUUUGUGGUUCGCCUAGGACAAAGCUUCACAGAAUGAAAAUAGCCAGAUUUGAAUGUAAUCACAUUUCAUUGUUUUCAUACUUAAGUCCACACACAGACUCUGGUGAGGGAGAUCACAGAGGCUACCGUUAGGAUUUAUGGCAUCUUACAUAGUGUCUUUGCUCUUGAUUGUGUUCAUUAAAUGUCUCUGCUUUGAUUCUGUGGCUGCUACUGAAAAAAAGUCUGGACUUAAUGAUGCACAACAUCAAACAAGCCAAUCUGGGUAGUUUAGACACUAUUUUCAGCUCACAGAGCACAUUCUGAAACUCUCUGUGCUCCCCUUAAAUAAAUAUACUGUAUCAAAGCUCAGUCUUGGCUCAGUUAUUCUCUCACUGAUGAAGAAAUUCUUUCAGUAGCUGAUGAAAGGUUAACAGUAACCUCCAAACAGCCAAAGAGUUUGAAACUGUAUGACAAAAGUAUCUGCAGCUAUCUAUCACAUACCUGUAAUCAAGCCAGAAAACAGUCUCCAAGUACUAAAACAUAAUGGAACUUCAAGCUCCCCCCCAAAACAGCAGAGGUGCAGGCGAUUACUUUCCACUCGGUAAACAGAAACACUGUCCAAACCGAGAUCUGUGUUCGCAGUGUCUGUGAAAGCAUUCACGAAGCUCCACAGGAUGAAGGUUCCUCUUGACAUGAAGAUCUUGGGUUUCAAGCUGUGCGGACCGUUAGUGCUGCUUCCUCCCUUGUCAAGGCCUGCCAGAGUAUCUGACUGAGAGGAAAACUGUUGCAUUUGGACACAAGACAGGCAUGUGGUUGCCAUCAGGACAGAGGCAUGGAGCACCAGGCCAGCAGUCCAAGCAAAGCACCCCAGAUGUCCCUCUCCCAAGCAACGCCUUCCAGCUCUUCCUGGAGGACCCCAAGGUGUUUCCAGGCCAGGCAAAGAACCAUGGCCUCAGAUUUGGAGGUGCUGACUCCUGCCUGCUUUUAACACACUAUUAGUGCCAUGUUACUUUGAAUUAAUAAAGAGAACUUUAUUUCAAUCACAUGCAUCCAUGGUGAACAAGAAUCCAAAAACAGAAAAUAUCGCUGAUAAAUUGAAGUCAAUGGGGACCAUUAUGAACAACGGCAAAAACUGAAUCAAAACAUCUGUUUUCAAACUCUCAAACAACUCGUACAGUAUAAUCCAGGUCUCAUUUAUUCAGUCGCUUGCUUAGUGCUUCCCAAACAUGUUGCUUUACCUUGCCUUAAGCCCUUUCUGACUUAAAGUGAAACCUUUCAGUGCUUUCACUUCUAGUUUGCCACUUCUGGAUUCUUUAUUCACCAGAGGCAUGCAAGAAAAACAAAGUUUUCUUCACAAACUCAACGGUAACACGGCAUGACUAAUUGAUAUAUACAUGAUCAUUUUGUGGGCAAAGUAUUCCCUUAAACAAAAUAAAUGGCAACCACUUCUGUGCAUGCUCAAGCGCAUUUUUGUGUGUGUUUUAGUUUCUGUUGCCCCUCUUUAUAUGUGUGUGCAUGUGUGUAGCCCAGAUAGGACUGUAAGCUUAGGCAAACCCACUGGACUUAGCAUGUCAAACAUCUGCCCGAGCCUAAACAGGGGGGUGUCUGGACCAGUGAAGCUCCUAAAAGAGAGCAAUAAGCCCUGAGCUCUGUAAGGCAUCAGUGGUUGACGGGAGCUUUGCUAAACACAGUUCCUGAGACAAGUCAUUCAUCAAACUCCCUUUUUCGCUAUUACUCUAAAAUAGUAUCCUGGUUACUUAAUGUGAGUGAGAUUAGAGCUGCGGUGAGCAGAACAUAAGUUCUUGUCAUUUAUUUCUUGUAUUGGCGUUGUCAGAUUCAUAACGUCACCAUUCAUAUUUGAACAAUACAUUUAUGAACAGGGAAGUGCACUGAGUAAAUCUUUUGCUAUCUAUAAACUCUCUGAUGACCGUGGGACUGUAUAUUUACAAGGGUUUGAAAAAGGCAUGAAUAAAGCCCAACUGCUGCAUGAUGGAAGCCAGUGCCAUGAGCAAAUACCUUUUGUUUUAAGACACUUGGUUCAAAAGAUAAGGAAUCCCCUUAACUGAGCAGUGUUUUAAGGGGAUUUAGUGGCCUCUAGUGGCGAGGAUUGCAUAUUGCAACCAGCUGAAACUUCUGGUUAGGAUUCCUUCAAUGUUCAUUGUUCAAGAGGUUUUUACUGAGAGCUGAAUUAAUCAUAGAGGUUUUUACUCUCCAAAACAAACAGACCCAGUGAUUU